Molecule: non-coding RNA, 1948 nt
Organism: Leptonychotes weddellii (Weddell seal)
Lineage: Eukaryota; Metazoa; Chordata; Mammalia; Carnivora; Phocidae
Source: RefSeq, a predicted model, not a curated record
GCCCUGGUCUCUGAAGGGCGGCGGCACGGGGCCCAGCCUGAAGCGGGCAGCGUGUCCCUGGGACCCGUGGCCGACCUCGUCUCCCUCCCUCCUCUGUCCUCAGAGACUGUGAACCAGGAAGAGAAAAGUGGCCCAGGGGCAAGCGGAGGUGGCAGUGGGGACCCCGACAGCUUCUUCAACUCCAAGGUGGCGUUGUUCGCGGCUGUCGGCGCUGGCUGUGUCAUCUUCCUGCUCAUCAUCAUCUUCCUGACAGUUCUGCUGCUCAAGCUGCGCAAGCGGCACCGGAAGCACACCCAGCAGCGGGCGCCCGCCCUCUCGCUCAGUACCCUGGCCAGUCCCAAGGGGGGCAGUGGCACGGCGGGCACCGAGCCCAGCGACAUCAUCAUCCCCUUACGGACUACAGAGAACAACUACUGCCCCCACUACGAGAAGGUGAGUGGGGACUACGGGCACCCCGUCUACAUCGUCCAGGAGAUGCCGCCCCAGAGCCCAGCGAACAUCUACUACAAGGUCUGAGGGCCCAGCGCGGCCUCGGGCCCCCGAGGGACAGUCGGCCAGGACUGCACCUCUCCUUUCUCCCCCACGCUCCCUCCCCUGACCAGCUGUGCCCACCUUUGUAUUUAGUUUUGUAGUUUCUUGGCUUUUAUAACCCCCCCCUUUUGCCCUGCCCCCUGGGCUUCGGAGGGGGUGCUUGUGCCCCCAGCCCCCAUGCUCUUGUGCCUUCCCCCUCUGGCCAGGCCUCUGGGCUCUGCAGGGGCGCCCCUUCUUGGAGGGCAGGGUUGGACGCUGAUGGACAGCAGGCAGGAAGAUGCUCCCCUGGCCCUGCCCCCCCUCCCGCCUCCCCCCCCAGGACUGUUUGUCCGCUAUCAUCACUGUUUUUAAUGUUUUUGUGUUCAUUUUUUAGCUGUCACCUCAUUUUCAUCUGUUUUUUAAAGAAAAAUGGAAAAAUGUAAAAGGCAGCCCCUCCUUCGGCUUUCUGAGCCUGGCCUAGCCCGGUUUAAGGGAACUGGGGCAGGAUGUGGCCAGCCAGGAAGCAUAGGAUGGCAGUUCUUUUAUAAACGCCUUGGUAUUUGGGGGAGGGGUGGCAGGCCAGAGCUGUUCCUGCCCAGGCGGGAAGACGGGAGGGCCGUUGGGCAAAGUGUCUCGCCCUGCCCUCCUGACCCUCCUUCUACAAAGCUGAUCUUGGCAAUGGGGUAGUGGCUGCCACCCUUCCACCAAACAAACAGAGAAAAAAAAAAAAAGCUCUUCCUUGUGGGAUUCUUGGGCAUCUCCUGCCUCCCUCACUCUCACGGUAAUUAACGUCUUAAUUGGCUGUUGCCUGGGGAACAGGAGAGCUGCUGCAGGCAGAUGACCUCAUGGGGGUGGAGGGAGGUGAGGUGCCCAGGUGGCUAUUUGCCCUGCAGAGCUGGGAGUUGCCCCUCCCCCUCCCCGCCCUGUUCUCUCCUCACCUUUGGCAUCCUUUGGCCUGGUGGGGAAACGGAGGCCCAGGGCAGAGACCUAAGCGGGUAUAAGGCCAGGCGGCCUGCUCCUUUUCUGGGCUCUAGCACAGGUGGGUGCCCCCUCAACCCAGCUUCCGCUGGCCCCUCCAGUCUUGGGCCGGGGCCUGGAAAGAGGAAGAGGCUGCCCAGGGCUGGGCCAGCACGCCGUGCACUUUGACCCCGGCUCCUUGCCAGCACGGCUGCGUACAGACGGCCACUUGAGUGUGCUUUGCAGGCGCUCCCAGAGUGGCCAUGGAAGGAGCUGGGCCUUUAUGCCCCCCACCUCCACACUGGCUCCUGGCCCGCUGCCCACCCCAGUGCCAGGUGGGAGAGGGAGCCAAACAGCCAGCCCCUUCCCGGUGGCAGUCGGAAGGGUUUUUUGGUUUUGUUUCUGUUGCCAUUUGUGUAAAUACUAGUCUUUUUUGGAAGAAAUAAUGUAAAGAUGUUUUGUAUAAACUCUGAAUUAUUUU